AGUGAACGCUGGCGGUAGGCCUAACACAUGCAAGUCGAACGGCAGCACAGUAAGAGCUUGCUCUUACGGGUGGCGAGUGGCGGACGGGUGAGGAAUACAUCGGAAUCUACUUUUUCGUGGGGGAUAACGUAGGGAAACUUACGCUAAUACCGCAUACGACCUACGGGUGAAAGCAGGGGAUCUUCGGACCUUGCGCGAUUGAAUGAGCCGAUGUCGGAUUAGCUAGUUGGCGGGGUAAAGGCCCACCAAGGCGACGAUCCGUAGCUGGUCUGAGAGGAUGACAGGCCACCCUGAACUGGAGACCGGUCCCGGCCCCUUAGGGGAGGAACCAGUGGGGAAUAUUGGCAAAUGGGCGAAACCCUGUCCCGGCCAACCGGCGUGGGUGAAGAGGGCUUCCGGGUUGUAAAGCCCUUUUGUUGGGAAAGAAAGGAAGCAGGUUAAUACCCCGCUGUUCUACCGGUCCCAAAGGAAUAAGCACGGCUUAAUUCCUU
RNAcentral lists this ribosomal RNA (491 nucleotides) under uncultured bacterium. RNAcentral's name for it is "partial 16S ribosomal RNA". It matches the Rfam family "Bacterial small subunit ribosomal RNA", at positions 29 to 506 of the family's 1533-position model. The record is from RNAcentral.